This 617-nucleotide ribosomal RNA is filed under the name uncultured bacterium. RNAcentral's name for it is "bacterial SSU rRNA". It matches the Rfam family "Bacterial small subunit ribosomal RNA", at positions 335 to 944 of the family's 1533-position model. The record is from RNAcentral.
ACUCCUACGGGAGGCAGCAGUGGGGAAUAUUGCACAAUGGGCGCAAGCCUGAUGCAGCCAUGCCGCGUGUGUGAAGAAGGCCUUCGGGUUGUAAAGCACUUUCAGCGAGGAGGAAGGGUUCAGUGUUAAUAGCACUAUUCAUUGACGUUACUCGCAGAAGAAGCACCGGCUAACUCCGUGCCAGCAGCCGCGGUAAUACGGAGGGUGCAAGCGUUAAUCGGAAUUACUGGGCGUAAAGCGCACGCAGGCGGUUUGUUAAGUCAGAUGUGAAAUCCCCGCGCUUAACGUGGGAACUGCAUUUGAAACUGGCAAGCUAGAGUCUUGUAGAGGGGGGUAGAAUUCCAGGUGUAGCGGUGAAAUGCGUAGAGAUCUGGAGGAAUACCGGUGGCGAAGGCGGCCCCCUGGACAAAGACUGACGCUCAGGUGCGAAAGCGUGGGGAGCAAACAGGGUUAGAUACCCUGGUAGUCCACGCUGUAAACGAUGUCGACUUGGAGGUUGUGCCCUUGAGGCGUGGCUUCCGGAGCUAACGCGUUAAGUCGACCGCCUGGGGAGUACGGCCGCAAGGUUAAAACUAUAAUGAAUUGACGGGGGCCCCCACAAGCGGUGGAGCAUGUGG